UACGUAGGGGGCUAGCGUUGUCCGGAAUCAUUGGGCGUAAAGCGCGUGUAGGCGGUCCGGUAAGUCCGCUGUGAAAGUCGGGGGCUCAACCCUCGGAUGCCGGUGGAUACUGUCGGGCUUGAGUACGGAAGAGGCGAGUGGAAUUCCUGGUGUAGCGGUGAAAUGCGCAGAUAUCAGGAGGAACACCAAUUGCGAAGGCAGCUCGCUGGGACGUUACUGACGCUGAGACGUGAAAGCGUGGGGAGCAAACAGG
Molecule: ribosomal RNA, 253 nt
Filed under: uncultured bacterium
Lineage: Bacteria
Description: partial 16S ribosomal RNA
Rfam family: Bacterial small subunit ribosomal RNA
Source: RNAcentral